GGAGAGCUUGCAAACCUCUCACUCUGAAGAAAGAUAUGAAAUUUGCUUUAUUUCAAAUUAUCUUAAUCUUAUACUAAAUUAAAAUAUCAUGGAUAAAACUUAGAGUUUUGGCUUUAAGGAGUAUCAAUCUUAGGGGGAGCUUGCAAACCUCAUAAACCUAAGAGAAACAUGAUAAGUUAAUUUAACAACAAUUGUCAAUUAAUACUUAUGUUUGUCAUCAUCAAAAAGGGGGAGAUUGUUGGAACAAAAUUGAUUUGAAAAAUGUUUGCCCCUAAAUCUAUAAAGGUUUUGAUGAUAACAAAGUAUUAAUAAACAAUUGGAAGGACUAAAAAUUUAUUUUAAGUGCGCAGAUAUAAGCAUCAGAUAAGCUCUGAGUGAAG
This 380-nucleotide long non-coding RNA is filed under the name Trifolium pratense (red clover). RNAcentral describes it as "long non-coding RNA (TPRA_LNC008989)". The record is from RNAcentral. Lineage: Eukaryota; Viridiplantae; Streptophyta; Magnoliopsida; Fabales; Fabaceae.